CAGAGAAUUACCAAGACGCGUUGGUUACCUUCGGGAACUCUGAGACAGGCGCUGCAUGUCUGUCGUCAGCUCGUGUGUGAAAUGUUGGGUUAAGUCCCGCAACGAGCGCAAACCUUUAUCCUUUGUUGCCAGCGGUUCGGCCGGGAACUCAAAGGAGACUGCCAGUGAUAAACUGGAGGAAGGUGGGGAUGACUGUCAAUGUCAUCAUGGCCCUUACUGAGUAGGGCUACACACUGUGCUACAAUGGCUGCAUACAAAGAGAAGCUGACCUCGCUGAGAGCAAGCUGGACCUCAUAANUNUGCGUCGUAGUCCGGAUUGGAGUCUGCAACUCGACUCCAUGAAGUCGGAAUCGCUAGUAAUCGUAGAUCAGAAUGCUACGG
Molecule: ribosomal RNA, 381 nt
Filed under: Enterobacter sp. LGI5O
Lineage: Bacteria; Pseudomonadati; Pseudomonadota; Gammaproteobacteria; Enterobacterales; Enterobacteriaceae
Description: bacterial SSU rRNA
Rfam family: Bacterial small subunit ribosomal RNA
Source: RNAcentral